GCUCCCAUAGCUCAGUGGUUAGAGCACAACGCUUAUAACGUUGGGGUCGACGGUUCAAAUCCAUCUGGGAGCA
Molecule: transfer RNA, 73 nt
Filed under: Candidatus Magasanikiibacteriota bacterium
Lineage: Bacteria; Candidatus Magasanikiibacteriota
Description: tRNA-Ile
Rfam family: tRNA
About the family: Transfer RNA (tRNA) molecules are approximately 80 nucleotides in length. Their secondary structure includes four short double-helical elements and three loops (D, anti-codon, and T loops). Further hydrogen bonds mediate the characteristic L-shaped molecular structure. tRNAs have two regions of fundamental functional importance: the anti-codon, which is responsible for specific mRNA codon recognition, and the 3' end, to which the tRNAs corresponding amino acid is attached (by aminoacyl-tRNA synthetases). tRNAs cope with the degeneracy of the genetic code in two manners: having more than one tRNA (with a specific anti-codon) for a particular amino acid; and 'wobble' base-pairing, i.e. permitting non-standard base-pairing at the 3rd anti-codon position.
Source: RNAcentral